AAUCAUCAAUGAGGACCUUUCUUUUCGGAGAGAGGCUUUCUUGUUGGAAUGUGGAGUGUGCUGGCUUGUUCAGCUCCUCUGAAAUGCAUUAGCGAUGUGGUGUUCCACCUGCUUGAGCUUGCAUUGGCAUUGAUAGUCAUUCAUGUCAGAGUAGUUCAUCUGUGGAAAGGUUCACUUGCUCCUAAUUGUGAUGGACUCUCUCCAUCCUUUGACCC
Molecule: unclassified non-coding RNA, 215 nt
Filed under: Hygrocybe acutoconica
Lineage: Eukaryota; Fungi; Basidiomycota; Agaricomycetes; Agaricales; Hygrophoraceae
Description: partial internal transcribed spacer 2
Source: RNAcentral